AGCAGCCGCGGUAAUUCCAGCUCCAAUAGCGUAUAUUAAAGUUGUUGCAGUUAAAAAGCUCGUAGUUGAAUUUCGGGGUUAGUAAGUUGGUCAUGCCUUCGGUAUGUACUGGCUUUACUGAUUCCUCCUCCUUGACGAACCGUGAUGUCAUUAAUUUGGUGUUGCGGGAAAUCAGGACUGUUACUUUGAAAAAAUUAGAGUGUUUAAAGCAGGCUAACGCUUGAAUACAUUAGCAUGGAAUAAUGAAAUAGGACGUUAAUCCUAUUUUGUUGGUUUCUAGGAUCGACGUAAUGAUUAAUAGGGAUAGUUGGGGGCAUUAGUAUUCAAUUGUCAGAGGUGAAAUUCUUGGAUUUAUUGAAGACUAACUACUGCGAAAGCAUUUGCCAAGGAUGUUUUCAUUAAUCAAGAACGAAAGUUAGGGGAUCGAAGACGAUCAGAUACCGUCGUAGUCUUAACCAUAAACUAUGCCGACUAGGGAUCGGAUGAUGUUAUUUUUAAUGACUCA
This 505-nucleotide ribosomal RNA is filed under the name uncultured Glomus. RNAcentral's name for it is "SSU rRNA". It matches the Rfam family "Eukaryotic small subunit ribosomal RNA", at positions 569 to 1078 of the family's 1831-position model. Lineage: Eukaryota; Fungi; Glomeromycota; Glomeromycetes; Glomerales; Glomeraceae. The record is from RNAcentral.